Molecule: unclassified non-coding RNA, 534 nt
Filed under: Hevea brasiliensis (rubber tree)
Lineage: Eukaryota; Viridiplantae; Streptophyta; Magnoliopsida; Malpighiales; Euphorbiaceae
Source: RNAcentral
UGCUUUUGAAUAUUUGUAGGUAAAAUAGCUCUUUCAGUGGCUUUUGGAGUCCAUAUUUUUAUGUCAUUCUCAAUUCCACUGCUGGCAAGCAUCGCGGUAUGAGGAUGGGACUCAAUGCAGUUCACUAUAUGCUUAUCUGCUUCCAUAACACGAACAAGAUCCCCACCCCUUUUCUUCCAUAUGAAAAUUCUACCACAAUCUGAUCCACUCACAACAUAUUCACACUUGGGCCCAAAAAAGUUCACGCCCUUAACUGUUUCAGAGUUUCUGUGCCCCUUGUAGACUUGUGGACCAAUGUUUGCUCCAUACUCCAUGACAAUUGCAGAUUCAUCAGAUUCGUGAUCUUGGCCCAUUUCGCCCUCAUCACUUUCAUUGUACAAUGGCGAUGUAGGGGAUGGAUCAGGUCCCAGCCCCAUGUCCUUUGUGAAAAGAUAAAUAAACUCUUCAUUAUAUGAAACAAGAAGCUCACUCUGGUCAGAGAAAGCCAAACCUGUUAUCCCCACAUUCUCAUCACCAACAAGAUGUGGGGGACAG